This 253-nucleotide ribosomal RNA is filed under the name uncultured bacterium. RNAcentral's name for it is "partial 16S ribosomal RNA". It matches the Rfam family "Bacterial small subunit ribosomal RNA", at positions 524 to 776 of the family's 1533-position model. The record is from RNAcentral.
UACGUAGGGUGCAGGCGUUAAUCGGAAUUACUGGGCGUAAAGCGUGCGCAGGCGGUUUGCUAAGUCAGGUGUGAAAUCCCCGGGCUUAACCUGGGAACUGCGCUUGUAACUGGCAAGCUGGAGUGUGGCAGAGGGAGGUGGAAUUCCACGUGUAGCAGUGAAAUGCGUAGAGAUGUGGAGGAACACCGAUGGCGAAGGCAGCCUCCUGGGCCAGCACUGACGCUCAUGCACGAAAGCGUGGGGAGCAAACAGG